ACGAACGCUGGCGGCGUGCUUCACACCUGCAAGUCGAACGGAAAGGCCCUGCUUUUGUGGGGUGCUCGAGUGGCGAACGGGUGAGUAACACGUGAGUAACCUGCCCUUGACUUUGGGAUAACUUCAGGAAACUGGGGCUAAUACCGGAUAGGAGCUCCUGCUGCAUGGUGGGGGUUGGAAAGUUUCGGCGGUUGGGGAUGGACUCGCGGCUUAUCAGCUUGUUGGUGGGGUAGUGGCUUACCAAGGCUUUGACGGGUAGCCGGCCUGAGAGGGUGACCGGCCACAUUGGGUCUGAGAUACGGCCCAGACUCCUACGGGAGGCAGCAGUGGGGAAUAUUGCACAAUGGGCGGAAGCCUGAUGCAGCAACGCCGCGUGCGGGAUGACGGCCUUCGGGUUGUAAACCGCUUUCGCCUGUGACGAAGCGUGAGUGACGGUAAUGGGUAAAGAAGCACCGGCUAACUACGUG
RNAcentral lists this ribosomal RNA (467 nucleotides) under uncultured bacterium. RNAcentral's name for it is "partial 16S ribosomal RNA". It matches the Rfam family "Bacterial small subunit ribosomal RNA", at positions 29 to 507 of the family's 1533-position model. The record is from RNAcentral.